CCUACGGGUGGCAGCAGUGAGGAAUAUUGGUCAAUGGCCGGAAGCCUGAACCAGCCAAGCCGCGUGAGGGAUGAAGGUGCUAAGGUUUGUAAACUUCUUUUGUCAAGGGACAAAAUCAGGCACGAGAGCCUGACCGAAGGUACUUGAAGAAAAAGCAUCGGCUAACUCCGUGCCAGCAGCCGCGGUAAUACGGAGGAUGCGAGCGUUAUCCGGAUUUAUUGGGUUUAAAGGGUGCGUAGGCGGGCCUUUAAGUCAGCGGUGAAAGCCUCGGGCUCAACCCCAGUGAAGCGGUUGAAACUGGCUGUCUUGAGAGGUCGAGAGGAAGGCGGAAUGCGCAGUGUAGCGGUGAAAUGCUUAGAGAUUGCGCAGAACUCCGAUGGCGAAGGCAGCAUACCG
RNAcentral lists this ribosomal RNA (396 nucleotides) under uncultured bacterium. RNAcentral's name for it is "partial 16S ribosomal RNA". It matches the Rfam family "Bacterial small subunit ribosomal RNA", at positions 338 to 731 of the family's 1533-position model. The record is from RNAcentral.